GAGCUCACUUCGGCAGCACAUAUGCUAAAAUUGGAACGAUACAGAGAAGAUUAGCAUGGCCCCUGCACAAGGAUGACAUGCAAAUUCGUGAAGCAUUCCAUAUUUUU
RNAcentral lists this small nuclear RNA (107 nucleotides) under Physeter macrocephalus (sperm whale). Lineage: Eukaryota; Metazoa; Chordata; Mammalia; Artiodactyla; Physeteridae. The record is from RNAcentral.